GAACAAUACGAUGUUUAAUAUUAUAUAAUAUUGCCAUGUGAUUCAUGCAGAUUUACGUGUCCCUUUAGACUGCACAGACACACCAUCAACAUAUUGUGUCUUAAUAUCCGUCCCUUUGAUCAUCCUCACCUAUUUCUCAACCGCAGAUUACCUCUUCCCACAAAAAGACAAUUACGAUAAUUUAAAGAAUAAUACUAUUCAUAGUCGCUCUAUAUCGAUAAUCGUCUUAAAUGAUUCAAAUAACAAACUAUCACGUAAGACGACUAUCGACAGUUAGCGAUUAUAAAUAGCAUUAUUCAAUUUUAAAUGGUACCCGCUUUGUCCCUCCAUUACAAAACCCAUACUUGUGCUUGUCCCUUCUCGGCUGCCCAUAGACAUGGCUAUUGUACAACAAUCGCAACGUAAUGUACAAUGAUCAAUUUGAAAAGUGUUAGGGUUUGUUUGGGAGAGGUUGGAAAAACUGUUGGAAAUUUGGAAAUAUGUAUGCUUUUAGAUUAUUAGAAAAACUACAUAUACAUUCACGAUAAAAUAAAUAAUUAUUUACUAUAUUCAGGAUUUGUUUUCUGUUAUACAACGAAUGAUUACUAUUUACUAUUCGUUAAAUGAAAUGACGAUUAAAAGGA
RNAcentral lists this long non-coding RNA (623 nucleotides) under Olea europaea subsp. europaea. Lineage: Eukaryota; Viridiplantae; Streptophyta; Magnoliopsida; Lamiales; Oleaceae. The record is from RNAcentral.